This 1242-nucleotide unclassified non-coding RNA is filed under the name Hevea brasiliensis (rubber tree). Lineage: Eukaryota; Viridiplantae; Streptophyta; Magnoliopsida; Malpighiales; Euphorbiaceae. The record is from RNAcentral.
UGUCUCACUUUUUAUUUACCCUAAUUUUGUUACAUCAUAAUUGUAUUGUCGGAAACUCUACAAAGAUAAGAAAGUACAAGGAAAAAAGUGAGACAACAGCAACAAAUGACAAAAUGGCAGCAAACCUACAAAUUCACCUGUAACUCCUGAAAUGCUGGGUGGAAUUGCACUAACAAAUUAACUUUCCAACUGUUUUCUGAUUAAUGCUGAGGUCAAGAAGAUCUGGUCAAAACUUGAAGAUGUACUUUGCAGUGUACAUUUGCGAGCUUAUAGAUAUCUGUAUAAGAUUGCCAAAGCAGAAAACAAAGUAACUGUUAGUAUAAGGGCUGAGACAUGCUUGCGCGAACUGGCAUUUGGCAACCAUGGAUAGGCAUCUGGAGGUGGCAUGACACAAUUAUCACCAUUGAAGUAGAUUCUUCUAGGGAAAGCCCAACCCUUCUCAAAGGUAAAAGUUGACUUGUCCUUUUGGAAAAGCAACUCCGACUGAACAUUACCAGAAGGGCCAGCUUGCAUGAGCAAAUCAUUGUAGUAUUGAAUUCCCCAUAGCAUGGCUGUAUCAUUUAUAACUGAAUAUGGAGUCAAUGCCCUAUAAUUAAAGCUAAAAGUCUGUGUCAGAUUGUCGAAGUUUGGGUGUUGGACGACUAGGUUCCAUUCUGAAUAGUUCAUAUUGUAAUUGAAAUUUGUAAUUGUGACCUUAACCCGCCAGUACUCUCUGUAGUUAAGCUUAACAUGCCAAUGAAUUCUGACUGGACACAUAUGACUUGUGCAUUGGACAAGAGGUGCAAGGCCGUUUUUCCCUGAGCUGGAAACAACUGAAGCUAAAUGUGGUGCAUUUGGAUCUACACAAUUCCCUGAUGAAGUACUGUUGCCUCGGCAGCCACAGGCACAUGUUGGGCAGGGCACUAUCGUGUCAUUGUAGAAAGAUGAGAGCGAAACACAGCAGGUGGGGGUCUUCUGAGCCAGGAAUUGCGAAUAUGUGCAGGUCACAUUCCAUGUCAUCAAAGCUUGUGUAACUCUCCUUUUAUCAGCUGUAAAAAAUUUACUAGGUCUAACAAUUUUCGCUGGUCCGCAUGUAUAACCAGGCCCUGGAGCCUUCAGAGUGAAGUUUUUAGGCACCCUGACAGUCUUGUUAGUGGUUCCAGCUGCACCUACGCUAAGCUGGAAUGCACUUACUGCCUUGGAUGGAUCUUGCACCAAUGAGCUUAUUACACCCCCUUUGCAGCAAUUUGCAAUCUGCUGGUU